UACGGAGGGUGCGAGCGUUGUCCGGAAUCAUUGGGCGUAAAGGGCGCGUAGGUGGCGGGACAAGCGUGCGGUGAAAGCCUGGGGCUCAACCCCGGGUCGGCCGUGCGAACUGUUUUGCUUGAGCACUGUAGAGGCAGGCGGAAUUCCGGGUGUAGCGGUGGAAUGCGUAGAGAUCCGGAGGAACACCGGUGGCGAAGGCGGGUCUCUGGGCCGAUACUGACGCUGAGGAGCGAAAGCGUGGGGAGCGAACAGG
Molecule: ribosomal RNA, 253 nt
Filed under: uncultured bacterium
Lineage: Bacteria
Description: partial 16S ribosomal RNA
Rfam family: Bacterial small subunit ribosomal RNA
Source: RNAcentral